UGAGGAACAUGACCUUCGGCGGGGGAUAGCCGGCCCAACGGCCGGGUAAUACCGCGUACGACCACAUGGGGACAUCCCUGAGUGGUGAAAGCAGCAAUGCGCCGAUGGAGUGCCUCGCGGCCUAUCAGCUAGUUGGUGAGGUAACGGCUCACCAAGGCAACGACGGGUAGCUGGUCUGAGAGGAUGGCCAGCCACAUUGGGACUGAGACACCGGCCCAGACCUGUACGGGGA
This 232-nucleotide ribosomal RNA is filed under the name uncultured bacterium. RNAcentral describes it as "partial 16S ribosomal RNA". It matches the Rfam family "Bacterial small subunit ribosomal RNA", at positions 118 to 347 of the family's 1533-position model. The record is from RNAcentral.